UGGCUCAGUGGUAGAGCAUCUGCUUGGAAUGCAGAAGGUCCCAGGUUCAAUCCCUGGCAUCUAAA
RNAcentral lists this transfer RNA (65 nucleotides) under Sphaerodactylus townsendi. Its description in RNAcentral is "tRNA-Ser". It matches the Rfam family "tRNA". Rfam says of the family: Transfer RNA (tRNA) molecules are approximately 80 nucleotides in length. Their secondary structure includes four short double-helical elements and three loops (D, anti-codon, and T loops). The record is from RNAcentral. Lineage: Eukaryota; Metazoa; Chordata; Lepidosauria; Squamata; Sphaerodactylidae.